AAAUCAACGGCGAAGAUCACUCCAUGCCUCUCUAUCCUAUAAAAUCCAACCUUCCGGAAUCAAAUCUCCUCCCCUCAUUUGUUUUCGGCAAUCUCCUCUCUUUAUUCUCCGCUGCGUCAGAUACAAGCAGUAGCAGAGUCGUUGGAGCCAUUUCUAGGGUUUUGAAAUCUCGCAGAGGGAUUCCAGAUCUGGGCCUCCAAUCGACCUGCAUUCUCCCAGUGACAUAAGAAGGCACCAAGAUGGUUGCACAGACAUUUACAGUGGACUUGAAUAAGCCUCUUGUGUUCCAGGUUGGCCAUCUUGGAGAAGCAUACCAGGAAUGGGUUCACCAGCCUAUUGUCAGCAAGGAAGGCCCACGCUUUUUUGCAAGCAACUUCUGGGAGUUCUUGACGCGUACUGUAUGGUGGGUGAUCCCACUUAUCUGGUUGCCGGUUGUAUGUUGGUUCGUGUCUGCAUCUAUCCGAAUGGGCUGCACAUUUCCUGAGGUAGUCCCAUUGGUGUUUAUUGGGAUACUUGUGUGGACAUUAAUGGAGUACACUUUGCAUCGCUUCCUUUUUCACAUCAAAACAAAAAGUUAUUGGGGAAAUACUGCUCAUUAUCUUCUUCAUGGCUGCCAUCACAAGCACCCUAUGGAUGGAUUGCGCCUUGUUUUUCCUCCUGCUGCUACAGCCAUUCUAUUGGUGCCUGUCUGGUUUCUGGUUAAACUGAUUUCAACUCCUUCAACUGCUCCUGCUGUGUUUGGAGGUGGCUUGUUGGGUUAUGUGAUGUAUGAUGUUACUCACUAUUAUUUGCACCAUGGUCAGCCAUCUAGCAAAGUUCCUCGAGAUUUAAAGCGGUAUCAUCUAAAUCAUCACUUCAGAAUUCAGAACAAAGGGUUCGGUAUCACAUCAUCUCUCUGGGACAAGGUGUUCGGGACAUUGCCCCCUACAAAAACUGCUUAAAAGAACCAAUGAUCCAGAUCUGCCGAUUGCCAUUGGUGAUUCUUGGGUGGGGUCGUCAUCGAGGGGAGUUAGUUGAUACUCUGGCAGAGCAUCAUAAGCAGGCACUCAGAAAUUGUACACGUGGCAUAUGUUAGCUCAAAUUAUACCUGACAAAAUCGUGGAGCCCACUGCCACUGACAGCCCCAAAGUCAGAUUGGCUGAGCAACUGUGAGUAUGUAACCUCUGAUUCCUGGACACUUAUUGGAUAUUUUUCAGUUUUAACCCGUCUGAUAAAUGUCCACCAAUCCAAUGGUUGGAUAACUAAAUAAGGGUAAAUUUUUGUUCAUAAUGCAUCUAAGUUGGGAGCCAUGAUUUGGACAGUUUAACUUAAAUUACUCGUA
RNA transcript from Magnolia sinica, 1321 nucleotides. It is a transcript of the gene named dihydroceramide fatty acyl 2-hydroxylase FAH1, with no coding region annotated. The record is from RefSeq and is a predicted model, not a curated record. Lineage: Eukaryota; Viridiplantae; Streptophyta; Magnoliopsida; Magnoliales; Magnoliaceae. The transcript is spliced from 8 exons.